Passer domesticus (house sparrow) is the source of this 2639-nucleotide long non-coding RNA. RefSeq lists it as uncharacterized. The transcript has 3 exons. Lineage: Eukaryota; Metazoa; Chordata; Aves; Passeriformes; Passeridae. The record is from RefSeq and is a predicted model, not a curated record.
CUCAAGCCCUGGCAGCCGCGGGCUCCUCCACAGCCGCGCUCAGCCCUGCUGCCAGGCGGGGUUUGGUGCUGGAAAUGCAGGGGUCUUGAUCCUGCAGUUAUCCUCUCCCCAUCCAUGCCUCUAACUGAACUCUGUGAACACUGUGGAUCUAAAGCCCCCACACCUGACAAGAGGACAGAGCCUCAAGCUGCACCAGGCAAGGUUCAGGUUGGAUAUCAGAAAUAAUUUUUUCACAGAAAUGGUCGUUAAACAUCGGAAUGGACUACCCAAGGGAAGUGCUGGAGUUCCUGGAGGUGUUCUAGAAACAUCUGGACACAGCACUUGGUGCUCCAGCGUGGUUGACAAGGUGGUGAUCCAUCAAAAGCUGGGUCAAUGAUCUUAAAGGCUGUUUCCCACCCAAAUGAUCCUAUGAUUCGAUCCUGGAGACCAGAGCUGGCUUAGAGGAUGCUUCUGCCUUGCUCACCGUCCCUUCCCAGGGAAAAGAGGAGCCUCUGGAGCCGCCCAUGCUCGCUGAGCAAGCCCUGAGGGCAGGGUGGGAGCAGCUGCUCCUCUGAGGUCUCAGGGACAGCGACAAGGCAAGGAGGAGCCACAAAACACAGACCUGGCUCCCCAGCUGGCCAAAACAGAGACAAUCCAAAAACUGGUAUCCAGAGACAAGGAAAAUCCUGCCUUCUCUAACCUACCUGUCACCUCAGCGCUGUGACACUGACUCCUUCCUCCAAGUUUCAAAAAAAGCAAAAAAAUAUGUCCCCUCUCCCAUUCUGCCCUUUCUGCUCCAGAAGAGGCACACAGCAGUUUCUCCUUCCUCCUUCAUAUGUCUUGUCUCACUGUGCUCUGAUACAAAUUUGAUGUGUUAGAUCUGCAGCCCAUUGCAGCCUUGUUCUUCUCUGCAGUUCCACGGGUACCUCUCUUAGACUUCACUGCGACUCUGGGAAAAGGUCACAGCUCUUGUUCAUGCUGCUCCAGCAUCCAGCAGAACAGGGCACUGCACAGACACUCUGGGUGCAACCCGCCUUCCCUGGCAGCCACAGGACUGGCACUUCUCCCCAGGCUAAGCCAUCUGCCUACAGGCACGAGGUGUCAGCUCCCAUGACAGUCAUUGGUAAGAUGACAUUUUGGUGAAAUGUGACUGAAGCUCAACUCACCUGAACACAGGCAGCCAGUGGCACCUUGGAUGCUGCACCGUAUUUUCCUUGCUGUUUCAGGGCAGUGCCAAUGCCUUUAUGUCCUCUGUCACUCCUGCCAGCCCUGUGCACACACCUAUGGUAACUCAGGGUUUCUCAAAUGGUACAAGACCUUUAUGUUAUGCAAAGUGGGUUCUCCCACCCCGCAGAUGCUCAGUUACAUCCUUUUCAACAGCACUGCACCAAUGGGGAUGGGAGUUUAGAAAACCAUACACAGACAUCUGCAGACUGUUCUGCCCAGAAAAAGGCAUCCCAUGCUAUCUGAGAUGCUUUGAGGGCUUGUGUGCAGCAGGUUAAUACCACAUAAGAUCUAUGGAAACCCACAACUUCUGAAGGCCAGAUAAAAAACCCCAGGGCACCUCCGAGUGCACACAGUGAUUUGUGUGCAACUCUACUGACCCUCAUGCAUUUCAGACUGGAGUUGAAGCCCCUCACUGCAGCUGUCUACAAUGUAGAUACUUUCCCUUUAUGGUCAAAGAAGAGAGACAUUUCCAGAGGAUGAGUCACAUCAUUCCCCUCCUCCCCACUGACCAUAUAAGCAUGGACAGACUCAGAUUAAAAUAUCCAACUUACAGAGAGAUAAGUUACGACAGGUGAAUCCCUCUGUUCCCUGCAGUAAUACACACAGACAAAACUCAUCGGAAUGAAUCGAUGGAAAGCAUCCAUCCUCAACCUCCCAGCUCAUGGUUUUAAAUUACUCUCACACAACAAACUAGAUAAUAUAUCAUAUUUAGUCAGCUGAAAAAAAAGUAACUGAUGAGAUAAAUGUUAUUCUCGUCAGGCUCCAGUUUUCUUCUUCAUGAAGAAUGAAAUGUCAGGAGACCUCACCAGAGGAGAAAUCAGGAAGGUUCAUUUCACUUGAGAAGGGCAACUGAGUGCUGAAAAUCCUCCCAGAGAGACAUGGGAACAGACAACCCAGCGAGCAGAGGGGCUGAAGUACAAAGUCUCUUUCUCCUCUUUACAGACAAGCUGAUUUUAUCAACUUAUUCUGAAAUGAUGCAGAAUGAAGUUAGAUGACAACAGCCCAGUUUAACACCUGAGGUGUAGCCAGAUUCUUUCUUCCACAGAGCUGUGUGGAAAAAUUACCUAACAUAAGUAGGCAUUGCUGCAUGAAAAAAAGCAAUUGCACAACCCCAUCUCUUAUGUGCUCCUGUCUGGCUCAUCCCUGCCCUAGAAGAAACUUUAAUGAUAUGGUGCAAGUCACAGGCUCAAGGAACAGGUGUAAAUCAGUACUGAAUAACAAGCCCCAAAAUAUCCAUUUUUUGCCAGGAGCAGUUCCUCAGCUGAGGUUAUAGAAUAGCUACAUAACACUGGCAUACAAAAGGAAACACUGCAGGAGAGAGAACAGGCAGCCAGGGAUGAAGAGGGUGAACAGAACAGACUCCUAUGCCAGCAUUGCUGCUUUUACCAUAGUUAUAUAUAGCACAAGGUGUGGAAUAAAUGCAGAAGAUCUCA